This 492-nucleotide ribosomal RNA is filed under the name uncultured bacterium. RNAcentral describes it as "partial 16S ribosomal RNA". It matches the Rfam family "Bacterial small subunit ribosomal RNA", at positions 29 to 507 of the family's 1533-position model. The record is from RNAcentral.
AGUGAACGCUGGCGGUAGGCCUAACACAUGCAAGUCGAACGGCAGCACAGUAAGAGCUUGCUCUUACGGGUGGCGAGUGGCGGACGGGUGAGGAAUACAUCGGAAUCUACUUUUUCGUGGGGGAUAACGUAGGGAAACUUACGCUAAUACCGCAUACGACCUACGGGUGAAAGCAGGGGAUCUUCGGACCUUGCGCGAUUGAAUGAGCCGAUGUCGGAUUAGCUAGUUGGCGGGGUAAAGGCCCACCAAGGCGACGAUCCGUAGCUGGUCUGAGAGGAUGUUCAGCCACACUGGAACUGGGACACGGUCCAGACUCCUACGGGAGGCAGCAGUGGGGAAUAUUGGACAAUGGGCGAAAGCCUGAUCCAGCCAGACCGCGUGGGUGAAGAAGGCCUUCGGGUUGUAAAGCCCUUUUGUUGGGAAAGAAAAGCAGCAGGUUAAUACCCCGCUGUUCUGACGGUACCCAAAGAAUAAGCACCGGCUAACUUCGUG